Molecule: long non-coding RNA, 8720 nt
Filed under: Hordeum vulgare
Lineage: Eukaryota; Viridiplantae; Streptophyta; Magnoliopsida; Poales; Poaceae
Description: long non-coding RNA (HVUL_LNC007721)
Source: RNAcentral
CCACAAGCCUGCCCACCGCCACCAGGGGGUGGUGGCGGAGCAGGGGCUUGUGGCCCACUGGCCCACCCCCUGAGGUGGAACUUGGCGAAGAUAUUUUUGAUAUUUUCCAAAACUGCUCCCCAUAAAUUUUCAGGAUGUUUGGAGAACUUUGAUUUCUGCACAAAAAUAACACCAAGGCAAUUCUGCUGAAAACAGCGUCAGUCCAGGUUAGUUCCAUUCAAUUCAUGCAAAUUAGAGUCCAAAACAAGGGCAAAAGAGUUUGGAAAAGUAGAUACGAUGGAGACGUAUAAACUCCCCCAAGCUUAAAACCUUGCUUGUCCUCAAGCAACUCAGUUGACAAACUGAGAGAGAAACAAAAACUUUGACAAACUCUGUUUGAUCUUGUUGUUGGAACUAUGUCUAACUCAUAACCAGAAUUUCAGCAGGAUCACAAGUUAACCACAUAAGCAAAUGACACAAAGGUCCCACGGUAAACUAAUAUCAAUGGCACAAUCAGCUAACGAGCAAAUAAUAAUGAGUUUCAAAUACCAACACUUCAAUCAAAACAAGCAUGAAGCAAUAUGAAUAGGUGGUAUCUCGCUAGCUCUUUCUGAGACCGCAAAACAUAAAUGCAGAGCAGUUUCAAAGAUCAAGGGCUCACUAAACAUUGUAAUUCAUAGCAACGAAGAUCCAGUCAUAGCCAUACUCAAUAUCAAUCAAAAGCAAAGCAUAGAAAUGACAGAGGUGCUCUCUAAUUGGUGCUUAUAAAAGAGGAGGAUGACUCGACAGGAAAAUAAAUAGACAUGCCCUUCGCAGAGGGAAGCAUUGAUUUGUAGAGGUGCCAGAGCUCAAGCUUUGAAAAUAGAGAUAAUAAUUUUGGGUGGCAUGCUUUCAUUGUCAACGCAAUGACCAAGAGUUCUCAAUAUCUUCCAUGCUACUCAUGCUAUAGGCGGUUCCCAAACAGAAAAGUAAAGUUUUAACUCCCCCACCACCAAUCAAUCACACUCCACGGCUAGCCGAAUCCUCGGGUACCGUCCAUACUAACAUCAAUCCGGGGGGGGUCUUGUUUUACAGUUAUGUUUUCGAUUUAAGCGUGGAACUGGGCAUCCCAAAUAACGGCCCCUUUCUCGUGAAUGACUGUGAAUAAACACAUGUCGAGAAUAACACUCCUAGCAUGGAAGAUACCAAUAGCCCUCUGUCACCACAUGAGCGGUUCGGGCAAGCAAAACAGAUUAUUUCUUGAAGGUUUAGAGAAUGGCACAUGCAAAUUUACUUGGAACGGCAGGUAGAUACCGCAAACAGGUAGGUAUGGUGGACUCUCAUGGAAAAACUUUUGGUUUUAUGGAAGUGGAUGCACAAGCAGUAUUCCGCUUAGUACAAGUGAAGGCUAGCAAAAGACUGGGAAGCGACCAACUAGAGAGCGACAACAGUCAUCAAGAUGUAAUGAGUUUGACUAACAUUGAAUGCAAGUAUGAACAGGAUAUAAAUCACCAUGAACACGAACAUCGUAGACGCUAUGUUGAUUUUGUUUCAACUACAUGCAUGAACAUGCGCCAAGUCAAGCCGCUUGAAACAUUCAAAGGAUAAUACCAUCCUAUCAUACUACAUCAUAGUCAUCUCAAAAUCUAUGUUGGCAUUCAAGACAAUCCAUUAUAAGCUCUCAGCUAAAUAAGCAUGGCAUCAGAAACUAUGAUCUCUAAGUUGUCAUUGCAAACAUGGUUCUCUCACAACAAAGCUGAAUCUGGGUCGACAAGCUAGUCAUAUUGACAAAAACAAAAUAGAUAGAGUUCAUACCAGCUUUCCAGUCUCAGUCACUUCAUCAUAUAUCAUCAUUGUUGCCUUUCAUUUGCACAAUCGAACGAUGUGAACAAUAAUAAGCGCAUUGGAGUAAGCUGAAUCUGCAGGCAAACACAAAGGAGAAGACAAAAUAAUAUGGCUCUUUGAAAGUUAAACAGGUAAGCAUGCAAGAACCACUAAGGAUUGUAACCAAUAUCUUCUACCUUGACACAAAGAAAAAGAAAACUAUUUACACGGGAAAGCUCCCAACAAGCAAAAGAAGAAAGAAAAAUCUUUUUGGGUUUUCUCAAAAGGACACAAAACAAGAAAACAAAAAGAAACUAGCAUGGAUAAUACAGUGGCAAAGUGUGAACACCGGCUAACAAAGUGAAAGCAUAAGCAUGAAUGUAAAGUCGGUGAGAACACGUACUCCCCCAAGCUUAGGCUUUUGUCCUAGGUUGGUCUACUCCCAUGGAUGAUCCUGGCGAAACCAAAGUCAUAAUGGGUGUUAUACGGGAGUGCUACAGCCACUGCCUGAAUAGCUGCCUCACGAAGUCGAGCAGCAGUCGCCUCCCUCUCAUACUCCUCUGCCUCUCCUAUGGUUAUGUAGUAUCUUCGUUUUACCUGAAAGUCAAAGAAAGCAGGAGCAGGAAGGGUAAUAUGGAAAACACGAUGUCGGUUAAAUAUCAAGCGGUAUAGGAGGGAUCCAUGAUCUCUCUCAAGGAACUGGUAGCGUGUUAGAGUGACACGAUCAAGGUAGGCUGUACGGAGAGGAGGGUCUUCUGGACGGAUGGAUACUCCAAGAAAAUUUGCUAAGCGUGUAGCAUAAACUCCACCAAAGAAAUCACCCUCACUGGCAUUUUUAUUCAGCCUCCUUGCUAAAAUAGCUCCCAUAUUGAAGCUCCUGUCACCUAUUGCUGCACUCUUAAGGAUACUAAGGUCGGAAGCGCAUAGGUGACAAUGUGCACCCUUGCCGUUAAUGCACCUACCUAUGAAGAGGGCAAGGUAGUGCAAGGCAGGGAAAUGGAUGCUUCCUAUGGUGGCUUGCGUGAUAUCCCUGGUUUCUCCAACAGUUAUAUUGGAGACAAAGUCUCUGACCGAAGACUUAGGAGGAUCAUUAACACUACCCCAAUCGGGUAUCUUGCAAAUCCUAUUGAAAUCCUCCAGAUCCACGGUAUAGGAUUUAUCGUACAAAUCAAACAGUAUGGAUGAGUCACGACCGGCUAAAAAUUUAAAUCUACGCACGAAAGAGGCAGUGAGCAUAGCAUAAUGUUCACAUUUAUCUGAGAGGAAUUCUUCUAACCCGGCAUUGCGGACAAGUGCAUCAAACUCAUCCUUGAAGCCUGCUUCGAUCAUGAACUCAUCGGAAGGCCAUUCACAUGGUUGCACCGGUGCGUCCCUUAGUUGAAAAGGUUCGGGCUACCGAAAGGAGAGAUGAGGACCCUUCUUACUUGAGGAACCACCACGAAACUUCCUACUAAACAUAAUUUCCUUAUGCUGAAAUUUUUGAAGUUCAAGAGAAAAGUGAAUAAAUACCCACCACACCUUGUAGCAACUACUCCUACUAGUGCCUAGAGACCGUAUCACGCGCUAAAACUACUUGGGACCAACUAAAAUCAACAUUUCUAGCUCAAGAAUAGGGUCACCAAGGUAGCAAGAAUACGCGAAGGAUACGGCACUAGAGCAAAAACUAAUUGGACCAAUGGAGGAGUCACUUACCAAGGAGUAAUUUGCCCAAAACGGUUCGGAGAAUGGUGCUUUGAGCAAGGAGAUCAAAAGUCACAGCCAAAUGAGCAAGAACACGGGUUUGAGCUGCGAAACAAUUUUUUCUAGAGGUGGAAGAAGAGGCUGAGAGCUGGAAUGAGUGGAGGGGAUGCCUGUGGGCCCCACAAGCUUGCCCACCGCCACUAGGGGGGUGGUGGCGGAGCAGGGGCUUGUGGCCCACUCGUCUGUCCCCCAGGCAGCUCUCAGGCCCAGUAAUUUUCAAAAAAUUCCAGAAAAAAUCAUACUAAAUUUUCAGGACCAUCGGAGAACUUUUAUUUUCGAGGUAUUUUUCUCCGGGACGUUAAAACAGAAAACAGGAAAAGCUAAACUAAUUCCAUCAUUUUUAUUCUGAGCAACAGAAAAGGAAAGCUCAAAACAGAGGUAUGUGACUCUUUGAUUCAUCCGUUUCAUGGUCAUCAAAAGAAAUCCGUCAAUGGGGUUGAUCAAGUCCUUAUGACAAAACCUUCUCGGAUCACAAGAGAGAAUGGAGAAGUUUCAAAUAGCCACUAAGUCACCUCAAUGGGGAUAUGUAUCUCCCCAACAAGCAAAUCAUACUUCAUCUUGACACGAGGAAUAGGGCAUUCAAAGCUCCCAAUGAGAAUCGAUGAAGUCUUUUCGAUAGCAUUGAUGCAAUGUACUGGAUAUCGUUUCUUCGGAAAGUGCACUGUGUGCUCAUUACCGUUAACAUGGAAAGUGACAUUGCCUUUGUUGCAAUCUAUAACAGCCCCUGCAGUGUUUAAAAAGGGUCUUCCGAGGAUGAUAGCCAUGGCAUCGUCCUCGGGAAUAUCCAAGAUAACAAAGUCUGUUAAGAUAGUGGUGUUAGCAACCACAACACGCACAUCCUCGCAAAUGCCGAUAGGGAAAGCAGUUGAUUUGUCGGCCAUUUGCAGAGAAAUUUCAUUGUGUGUCAACUUAUCCAACUCAAGUCUACGAUAAAGAGAAAGUGGCAUAACACUAACACCGGCUCCAAGGUCACAUAAGGCAGUUCUUACGUAAUUUCCUUUAAUGGAGCAAGGUAUAGUGGGCACUCCGGGAUCACCAAGUUUCUUAGGAGUUCCACCUUUGAAAGUAUAAUUGGCAAGAAUGGUGGAGAUCUCAAGAUCUGGUAUCUUCCGUUUAUUAGUCACGAUAUCUUUCAUGUACUUGGCAUACGAAGACAUCUUGAGCAUAUCAGUUAACUGCAUCUGCAGAAAGACAAGUCUUAUCAUCUUAAUGAAGCGCUCAAAAUCCUCAUCAUCCUUUUUCUUGGAUGGCUUAGGAGGAAAGGGCAUAGGUCUCUCAACCCAUGGCUCUCUUUCUUUACCAUGCUUCCUAGCAGUGAAGUCAUUCUUGUCGUAUCUCUUAGGUUGUGGAUUAUCAGGAUCAACCGUAGGUUCAAUCUCCACAUCCUCAUCAUUGCUAGGUUGAGCAUUAUUAUGAACAUCACUGUCCAUAUUGUCACCAGGUUCAUGUUCAUCACCUGAUUGUGUUUUUGCAUCAGACGCAGAAAUAUCAUUAGGUUCUUUAGGUGUGAUAGUAUUUGGUGAACUGGCGUGCAGGUUUCUGUCAUCCUUCUUCUUCUCCUUAGGAUGACUAGGUGUAUCAGCAUUGAUUCCUUGAGAAUCUUGAUCAAUUCUCUUAGGAUGACAUUCAGGAUACAAAGGUUCCUGAGUCAUUUUGCCUCCUCUAGUAAUGACUCUGACAGAGUUGUCAUUUAAUUCAUUGAGCAGGUCAUUCUGAGCUUUAAGUACUUAUUCUACCUGAGUAGUAAUCAUAGAGGCAUGUUUACUCAGAAGCUUCAGAUCAUUGACAUUUCUGUCUACACAAUCACUUAAAUGGCUAAGCAUACGAGUACUUUGUUCCAAAUGUCUGCUAACAUAAUCAUUGAAACUCUGUUGUUUGGAAACAAAGUUGUCAAAUUCAUCAAAGCAUAGGCUAGCAGGUUUAUCAAAAGGAAUAUCACUCUCAUCAAACCUACGCAGAGAAUUCACUUCUACUACCUGAAUCGGGUUAUCGAGAUCAUGGAUCUCUUCGAUAGGUGCUAGAUUUUUGACAUCUUCAGAUCUAAUGCCUCUCUCUUGCAUAGAUUUCUUGGCUUCUUGCAUAUCUUCGGGACUGAGGAAUAGAAUACCUCUUUUCUUAGGAGUUGGCUUAGGAGGUGGUUCGGGAAUAGUCCAAGCAUUAUCGUUGAUCAAGAGGUUAUUCAGUAGGGUCUCAGCUUGUUCUAUAGUUCGUUCCCUAAAAACACAACCGGCACAACUAUCUAGGUGGUCUCUACAGGCAUCGGUAAGUCCGUUAUAGAGGAUAUCAAGUAUCUCGUUCUUCUUAAGAGGGUGAUCAGGCAAAGCAUUCUGUAGGUGGACGAGCCUCCCCCAAGCUUGUGGAAGACUCUCUUCUUGGAGUUGAGCAAAGUUGUAUAUUUCCUGCAAGGCAGCUUGCUUCUUAUGGGCAGGGAAAUAUUUCUCACAGAAGUAAUAGACCAUCUCCUGGGGACUACGCACACAUCCAGAAGCAAGAGAGGUGAACCAGACUUUAGCGUCAUCCUUUAGAGAGAAAGGAAACAGCUUAAGGAUAUAGUAGUGGCGGAUCUUCUCCUCAUUAGUGAAAAGGUUGGCUAUUUCGGAUAGUUUGGCAAGAUGGGCUAUGACCGUCUCAGACUCAUAACCGUGAAAAGGGUCAGAUUCGACCAGAGAGAUUAUCUCAGGGUCAACAGAGAAUUCAUAAUCCUUAUCGAUGACAAAGAUAGGCGAAGUGGCAAACUUCGGGUCAUUUUUCAUCCUAGCUUCCCGAGAUUUUUCCUUCCACUUGAGAAGUAAUUUCUCAGCGUCAUAGGCAUCCUUACACACAAGAAAAUCCUCAGCUAUCUCUCCCUCCAUAACGUAACCCUCGGGUAUAUCAGGCAAUUCAUAUCUAGGAGAGCUAGAUCUAACAGGAGCAAAAGCAGGUUCUAUCUCAAUAGUAUCGGCAGUAUCAGAAGCAUCACGAGCAUUGGGAGUAACUCUGGCAAUAUGAGCAUCAAGGAACACUCCUAGUGGAAAAUCAGGCAAAGGAGUAUCUCUAGCAGUAUCAAGCAUAGCAUCAUCACGCAAAAUAGCAUCUCUAGCAUCAUCAGGCAAAGCAGUCGCAAGCAUAGCAUCUCUAGCAGUAUCAGGCAUAGUAUCAAGCAUAGUAUCAUCAGGCAUAGUAUCAAGCAUAGCAUCUCUAGCAGUAUCAGGCAUAGUAUCAAGCAUAGCAUCUCUAGCAGUAGUAUCACAAGCAUCAUCAAGCACAUGCGACAUAUCAAGAUUUCUAGCAGGAGGUGAUGUCGCAAACUUACUCAUAACUGAAGGUGAAUCAAGUGCAGAGCUAGAUGGCAAUUCCUUACCUCCCCUCGUAGUUGAGGGAAAGACUUUGGUCUUCGGAUCCUUCUGAUUCUUCAUAGUGAUCAACAGAUAUAAAUCCCAAGUAACUCAAAGAAUAUAGCAAUACCUCCCCGGCAACGACGCCAGAAAAAUGCUGAUCUGCAAUCUCUCGCGUUAGCUAGACGAAUGCUUAUGACAACAAACCUUCUCCUGCAACGGCACCAGAAGAAUGCUGAAAGCACUCUCAGGCAAUGAAACUGGAAGAAUGUUGUUGAUGGCCCACCAGCGCGUGGGUUCGCAGCAGUUUUCGAGGGUAGAGUAUUCGACCCAAUUUGUUGAUAAGCCACUCAGGAGGUGAGAGUAUACUCUCAAGUAUUAGCAGCUAAAUUUGUCAGAUUCAACCACACCUGAAAGAUUAGUAUCUGCAAGCACAGUAGUAACAACAAAGUAAUAUGAUAACAACGGUGUCAGAAACGAUCUGUUGACGGCAGAGUAUUCCUAACGAUUGUAUCAAUGGCGCCUCCGUUGCCGCGUUGACGGAAGUUGUCAGUUCCCAUCAACGUCCAGCAAACCAACAGUGUAGCAGGUAGCAGCAGUGUAACGAGCAAUAGUAGUGGCAAGGAACAGCAGUAAUGACAGCAGUAGCAAGAAGAAACAGUAGCAAGCGACAGUAGUAGCAACAGUAGCAGCAGAGCAAGACAAGUAACAGUAGUAGCAACAGUAGUAGCAGCAGCAGCAGAGCAAGACAAGUAACAGCAGCAGUAGGACAAACUCGUAGGCAAAGGGUCGCUGAUUUGUUUGGAUGAUAUUCAUAAUGCAACAGCUAUAACACGGAGAGAUAUGUGGCUAGCUCCCGUUCGUCAAUGUGAUGUAGGCAUGCAUUCCGUGUGUCGUCAUAGUGCUUAGGGAAAAGAACUUGCAUGCCAUCUAUUGUCCAUCCCUCCCGUGGCAGCGGGGUCCAAAAGGAAACUACGGGAUAUUAAGGUUCUCCUUUUAAUAAAGAACCGGACCAACGCAUUAGCACUUGGUGAACACAUGAACUCCUCAAACUAUGGUCAUCUCCGGGAGUGGUUCCGGUUAUUGUCACUCCGGGGUUGCCGGAUCAUAACACAUAGUAGGUAACUACAACUUGCAAGAUCGGAUCUAAAACACACAUAUAUUGGUGACAACAUAAUAAUUUCAGAUCUGAAAUCAUGGCACUCGGGCCCUAGUGACAAGCAUUAAGCAUGGCAAAGUAGUAGCAACAUCAAUCUCAGAACAUAGUAGAUACUAGGGAUCAAUCCCCAUCAAAACUAACUCGAUUACAUGAUAGAUCUCAUCCUACUCAUCACCGCCUAGCGAACCUAUGAAUAGAUUACUCACGAACGAUGAAGAGCUUCAUGGAAUUGGAGAGAGAAGAAGGUUGAUGAUGACGAUGGCGAAGAUUGCCCCUCUCCGGAGCCCAAGACGGACUCCCGAUCUGCCCUCCAGAUGAAGAACAGGUGGUGGCGGCGCCUCCGUAUCGAAAACAUGACGAAAACUUCUCUUUUUAUUUUUUCUGGGACGAAAGGCAACUUAUAGAGCUGGAGUUGGGGCGGCAGGUGCCUGUGGGCCCCACAAGCCUGCCCACCGCCACCAGGGGGGUGGCGGAGCAGGGGCUUGUGGCCCACUGGCCCACCCCCUGAGGUGGAACUUGGCGCAGAUAUUUUUGAUAUUUUUCAAAACUGCUCCCCGUAAAUUUUCAGGACGUUUGGAGAACUUUGAUUUCUGCACAAAAAUAACACCAAGGCAAUUCUGCUAAAAACAGCGUCAGUCUAGGUUAGUUCCAUUCAAAUCAUGCAAAUUAGAGUCCAAAACAAGGGCAAAAGAGUUUGGAAAAGUAGAUACGAUGGAGACGUAUCA